RNAcentral lists this unclassified non-coding RNA (368 nucleotides) under Hevea brasiliensis (rubber tree). Lineage: Eukaryota; Viridiplantae; Streptophyta; Magnoliopsida; Malpighiales; Euphorbiaceae. The record is from RNAcentral.
GCAAAUCCAACUUCUUUGAGAGAAGAGUUGCUGACUAUCAGAAGGCUUCUGUGAUGUCAAGCUUGCAAGACAAUGGCAAGAAUUUUGAGUUCAAACUGGAUGAAGACUUCUAGAGUUUUUUUUCCCUGGUAUCACCUUGAUGCUGAAAGAUGGCAUUCUUUUUAUGGUAAUAUUAUUCAUCAAAGAUCAUAUUGUUAAUAGUCCAUACCUUUUUCUGAUCACUUUUAGGAGGGCAAUUGAUUGCCUUCAUUUGAAGAAAAAGUAAAGUUUAUUUGCCAGACAUGAUGGUUUUGGUAGUUAAUGAGUAUUGAGUAGACUUUGAAAACUAUGUGAAACUAAUUGUCCAUACACUUGUUGCCAAGUAGGGG